This 1005-nucleotide ribosomal RNA is filed under the name uncultured bacterium. RNAcentral's name for it is "bacterial SSU rRNA". It matches the Rfam family "Bacterial small subunit ribosomal RNA", at positions 353 to 1371 of the family's 1533-position model. The record is from RNAcentral.
AGUGGGGAAUAUUGCACAAUGGACGAAAGUCUGAUGCAGCAACGCCGCGUGGAGGAUGACACAUUUCGGUGCGUAAACUCCUUUUAUAUGAGAAGAAAAUGACGGUAUCAUAUGAAUAAGCACCGGCUAACUCCGUGCCAGCAGCCGCGGUAAUACGGAGGGUGCAAGCGUUACUCGGAAUCACUGGGCGUAAAGAGAGUGUAGGCGGAUAUAUAAGUUAGAAGUGAAAUCCUAUGGCUUAACCAUAGAACUGCUUCUAAAACUAUAUAUCUAGAAUAUGGAAGAGGUAGAUGGAAUUUCUGGUGUAGGGGUAAAAUCCGUAGAGAUCAGAAGGAAUACCGAUUGCGAAGGCGAUCUACUAGAACAUUAUUGACGCUGAGACUCGAAAGCAUGGGGAGCAAACAGGAUUAGAUACCCUGGUAGUCCAUGCCCUAAACGAUGUACAUUAGUUGUUGUGAGGCUAGACCUUGCAGUAAUGCAGUUAACACAUUAAAUGUACCGCCUGGGGAGUACGGUCGCAAGAUUAAAACUCAAAGGAAUAGACGGGGACCCGCACAAGCGGUGGAGCAUGUGGUUUAAUUCGACGAUACGCGAAGAACCUUACCUGGCCUUGACAUAGUGAGAACCUAAUAGAGAUAUAAGGGUGCUAGUUUACUAGAGCUUACAUACAGGUGCUGCACGGCUGUCGUCAGCUCGUGUCGUGAGAUGUUGGGUUAAGUCCCGCAACGAGCGCAACCCUCGUGUUUAGUUACUAACAGAUUAUGCUGAGGACUCUAGACAGACUGCCUACGCAAGUAGGAGGAAGGUGAGGACGACGUCAAGUCAUCAUGGCCCUUACGGCCAGGGCUACACACGUGCUACAAUGGGGUAUACAAAGAGCCGCAAUACCGCAAGGUGGAGCAAAUCUCAUAAAAUAUCUCCCAGUUCGGAUUACACUCUGCAACUCGAGUGUAUGAAGUUGGAAUCGCUAGUAAUCGUAGAUCAGCAAUGCUACGGUGAAUACGU